UACAGAGGUCCCAAGCGUUGUUCGGAUUCAUUGGGCGUAAAGGGUGCGUAGGCGGCGCGGUAAGUCGGGUGUGAAAUCUCGGAGCUUAACUCCGAAACUGCAUUCGAUACUGCCGUGCUUGAGGACUGGAGAGGAGACUGGAAUUUACGGUGUAGCGGUGAAAUGCGUAGAUAUCGUAAGGAAGACCAGUGGCGAAGGCGGGUCUCUGGACAGUUCCUGACGCUGAGGCACGAAAGCGUGGGGAGCAAACAGG
Molecule: ribosomal RNA, 253 nt
Filed under: uncultured bacterium
Lineage: Bacteria
Description: partial 16S ribosomal RNA
Rfam family: Bacterial small subunit ribosomal RNA
Source: RNAcentral